This 132-nucleotide small RNA is filed under the name Salmonella enterica subsp. enterica serovar Infantis. Its description in RNAcentral is "RtT sRNA". It matches the Rfam family "RtT RNA". Rfam says of the family: This family represents a bacterial cis-regulatory element known as RtT RNA. The exact function of RtT is unknown although it is thought that it may be involved in changing the cellular response in relation to amino acid starvation. The record is from RNAcentral. RNAcentral also lists the same sequence under 42 other names. Lineage: Bacteria; Pseudomonadati; Pseudomonadota; Gammaproteobacteria; Enterobacterales; Enterobacteriaceae.
UAUCUCUCCGUACGGGGAAGGAUGAGAAGCUUCGACUAAGGUUCGAUUCGAGCGAAAGCGAGAGAACGUUGCCAACGGCAACGGCCCGAAGGGCGAAGCGCGCAGCGCUGAGUCAUCCUUCCCCCACCACCA